RNAcentral lists this ribosomal RNA (599 nucleotides) under uncultured bacterium. RNAcentral describes it as "bacterial SSU rRNA". It matches the Rfam family "Bacterial small subunit ribosomal RNA", at positions 56 to 702 of the family's 1533-position model. The record is from RNAcentral.
UGCAGUCGAACGAGACCUUCGGGUCUAGUGGCGCACGCGGUGAGUAACGCGUGGAAACCUACCAUUCUGUACGGAAUAACGAUUGGAAACGAUCGCUAAUACCGUAUACGCCCUGUGGGGGAAAGGUCCGCCGCAGAAUGAGGGGUCCGCGUCCGAUUAGCUUGUUGGUGGGGUAAAAGCCUACCAAGGCGAUGAUCGGUAGCUGGUCUGAGAGGAUGAUCAGCCACACUGGGACUGAGACACGGCCCAGACUCCUACGGGAGGCAGCAGUGGGGAAUAUUGGACAAUGGGGGCAACCCUGAUCCAGCAAUGCCGCGUGUGUGAAGAAGGCCUUAGGGUUGUAAAGCACUUUUCAAUGGUGAAGAUGAUGACGGUAGCCGUAGAAGAAGCCCCGGCUAACUUCGUGCCAGCAGCCGCGGUAAUACGAAGGGGGCGAGCGUUGUUCGGAAUUACUGGGGCGUAAAGGGCGCGCAGGCGGCCAAUCCAGUCAGGUGUGAAAGCCCCGGGCUUAACCUGGGAACUGCACUUGAUACUGAUUGGCUAGAAACGGAAGAGGGCAGUGGAAUUCCCAGUGUAGAGUGAAAUUCGUAGAUUUGGGA